This 343-nucleotide unclassified non-coding RNA is filed under the name Plenodomus biglobosus. RNAcentral describes it as "Leptosphaeria biglobosa partial internal transcribed spacer region". The stretch from base 1 to 46 matches the Rfam family "Eukaryotic small subunit ribosomal RNA", at positions 1786 to 1831 of the family's 1831-position model. The record is from RNAcentral. Lineage: Eukaryota; Fungi; Ascomycota; Dothideomycetes; Pleosporales; Leptosphaeriaceae.
AAGUCGUAACAAGGUUUCCGUAGGUGAACCUGCGGAAGGAUCAUUAACUAGUAUUGAAGUCCACGGGGAUCAGGCUUUCCGAAAGGAGGGUGGGGGGAUGUUUGGUUCCCCCUGCUUGGGCAGACUGGAGAGCAUUGUGUAGCCACUUUUGUUGGCUACGUUAUGUUUGGCCUCUGCUGAUCGAGCUUGUCACCUGAAUUCUACUACCCUUGCUUUUCGCGCACCCAUUGUUUCCUCGGUAGGCUUGCCUGCCAGUAGGACCAUUUAAAACCCUUUGUGAUUGCAAUCAGCGUCAGAAACAACGUAAUCGUUACAACUUUCAACAACGGAUCUCUUGGUUCUG